AUGUCGUGGCACGGCGUCUUGCCCGACGAAGAGGACAGGAUCGAUCUCCCCCUUUACAUCUCGCCCGCCACUCCCCCUUACAUCUCGCCCGCCACACUUCUCUUCAAGGUGAGAGCUUACGAGAUGGCGGCGCCGGAUUCGAUCUGCGUCCACCACCUGGUGGCGCGACCGGCAGGAGGUGAGCACGCCAAAGGAUUAGCUGAGCUCAAGAUUGUGGAAGGGGCAAUCGGGAAUCUGAGCAGGGAGGCAUUGCCAGGGCCGGUGUAUGGGUUCCAGGAGCUAGGUCUGGCGGAAGCAGUUCUGCACAACUUGGCGAGGUGUCAGUUCGAGACCCCGAGUCCGUUGCAGUGCUACUCGAUCCCGAUGGUGCUGGCCGGCCGGGACCUGUUGGUUUGCGCGCAGAAGGGGUCCGGGAAGACGACCGCCUUACUCAUCCCGGUGUUGAGUGGGCUGGUGACGGCGCCGGUAGCAGCAGGAAGAACAGGACGUAUGAAGUGUGUUAAACCACGCGCGCUCUUGCUCGUGCCUACCGCCAGGCUUGUAAAACAGAUUGGUGCUGAUAUCAGGAAAUUCUCUUACCGAACUAGAAUAAGAGUUCAUUCAAAGAUGAAAGGGAAGAUGCAGAAAUGUCAGCUUGAAGCGGGCAUUGAUAUAGUUGUUUCUACACCCCGACGUCUUAUCAACAUGGUUAGAACCACUCAAGUCUCCCUUGAGGCAAUAAAGUAUCUGGUCAUAUGCGAGCUUGGUUUGAUGCUGGAUAUGGGGUUUGAAAAAACGUUAAGGAAGAUAGUUGAUGACAUGCAUAUUCCACCGAAAUCUGCCAGACAUACUUUACUUUCCAGCGGUACUUUCCAACCAGCAGUACAGAAACUGGCUUGGGAUUUCUUGUCAGAUUACUUAUUUAUCACCGAUGGGAGGUUGGAGUUCAGUAUUGGCCUAACUAAGCAGAAAAUUGAGCUUGCCUCUGAAGAAGAGAAAAGAGGCCUCCUGCUAAAUCUGUUACAGAAGCAAUCCGUCUCUUCUGCCGGCAUGCAGAGCCAACUCAGAACAGUAGUUUUUGUCGAGACAAAAGGAAAGGCUGAUUCAUUGAAGAAUUGGCUAUGCAAUGAAGGUUUUCCUGCAACAGUGAUCUUUGCUGACAGUUCACAGCAGGAGAGAGAGAGCGCAUCGCUACCUUUCCAGAUUAGCGGCAUUUCUAUCCUGAUUGCUGCCAAUGCAGCCUCACCAGGCUUGGACGUUGCAAAUGUUGAUCAUUUGAUUAACUAUGAUCUUCCAAAGUCUGUUGAGGAAUAUGUUGAGAGGAUUAGAACAUUUGCGAGAGUUGGUUCUGCCACUUCCUUCUUCACUGAGUCCAACCGGUCCAUAGCAAAAGGCUUGCUGGAAUUGAUGAUUGAGGCAAAUCUAGAAGUGCCAGAUUGGCUGUUGGACUAUGCUAAUCCUGAUUAUACUAGAUCUGUGGAAUUGGACUCAGAAGAUGAGGAGAAUGAUAAGGACAGAUAUGAUUUAGCUCGGUCUCUCGCCUCACGCAAGAUUGAUAACAUAUACGAUCUGGCAUGUGUUUGGGCUGAAUUAAAUUGCAGGAGAACUAAGCAAAGCUUUGAUGAUAGUAGGAUCAAGACAAUGUCUAAAGAUUGUUGUAUUGCAUUUACACAACAAGAAGAAUACAAGUUCCUCAAGUUCUAUUUCGUCAAGGUUACUCAGCAUUGUUAUAGUCCUGAAAGUUAUGAAAAAACCUAUUGGCAUUACAAUUUCAUUGCCAAGAUUAAGAGUAAAUCAGGAAUCUGGACUGAAGGUAUCUACUUUGCUGAAAGAAAAUUAGAAUGUGAUGUGGAGACAUUUUGUUGCUCUUUCCUGGAGCCGUCAGACGAUGGUGAGUGCUAUGGUUGUCAACAUGGGGAGGCGAAGGUUCGGCAUCCAACUAGAGGUGACUAUGAGAGAGGAACACCUGAUCAUGUUUGGCUUUCCGAUGGUGACUGUGAAAUUAGUGAUGAUGAUAUGGUGGAUUUCUAA
RNAcentral lists this ribosomal RNA (2010 nucleotides) under Triticum aestivum (bread wheat). RNAcentral's name for it is "partial small subunit ribosomal RNA". Lineage: Eukaryota; Viridiplantae; Streptophyta; Magnoliopsida; Poales; Poaceae. The record is from RNAcentral.